GCUAGCUGAGCACUGAAACAGAGAGAGGCCCCAGACUGGAAGGUUAAUGCGAGAUGGCCAGCGUGAUGCGGUGACUCAGUCCUGACCUCAUGGAACGGCAACAGUAAGAGACAACGCGUGUGAUUGACAGCAGGGCAGAGGCAUUUGAGACCGACGCAAGGGGAGCUGUGGCGGUGGUCGCGUGAUGGAUUCGGGUGCAGAACGCAAGCCGGGCUGGGAAGUGAUGGGCCAGUGGAAGG
Molecule: long non-coding RNA, 239 nt
Organism: Oreochromis niloticus (Nile tilapia)
Lineage: Eukaryota; Metazoa; Chordata; Actinopteri; Cichliformes; Cichlidae
Exons: 2
Source: RefSeq, a predicted model, not a curated record